RNAcentral lists this long non-coding RNA (628 nucleotides) under Homo sapiens (human). Its description in RNAcentral is "HSALNT0031120". Lineage: Eukaryota; Metazoa; Chordata; Mammalia; Primates; Hominidae. The record is from RNAcentral.
UGAGUCUGCAUUACUGCAUCGGCAAAGUCCAACUGCAGUGGGCUCUCAGGGCAUCAGGUCUUCACCAAAGUAGGAGAAACCUUUGAAUUCCUCCUGGUUGAUCUGCUUUACAAUUGCUUCGUCCACAAGGGCCUCUAGCUACCAACAGACAGCAGACACGGGGCUGUCCCGAUGAGGUAACGAUGGAUGGCCCCAGGACCCGGAGGUGAGAGACGAGGAGAGGAAGAAUGAGUCAAGCAACUGCUGUAACCUACUGGCUCCAUUACAACAUUCCUCCCUGUGACCCAGGGAACAGAUCUGAAUCCCCUCUCAGAGGUCCUUCUUCCCCAUAACCCGGCCACAUCUGCUCCAGGUGACAUCCUCUCCACAAGCCUGCCUCGAUUUCCACUUACUCUCACCACGAACCCAAUUUUGUGCUCCAGUAUUUUUUCAAUUAUUAAACUCAGCACAUUGACUUGCAAUGACGUUUUUAUGCUUUUGUCUAGACCAAGAGCUUCUUAAAGGCAGAGACCUUGUCUUGUUCAACUUUGAGUUCCCAGCAGUUCCCCAGCAAUAAGUGUCUACUGAAUGAAAUAAGUAAACUCACCACUGACUCCCCAGCUCUGAAGGACCCAUACCUCUGGGUUGA